CCUACGGGUGGCAGCAGUGAGGAAUAUUGGUCAAUGGGCGAGAGCCUGAACCAGCCAAGUCGCGUGACGAAUGAAGGCUCUAUGGUUUGUAAACUUCUUUUAUAUGGGAAUAUAGUGAGGAACGUUUUCCUUUUUGUAUGUACCAUUUGAAUAAGCAUCGGCUAACUCCGUGCCAGCAGCCGCGGUAAUACGGAGGAUGCGAGCGUUAUCCGGAGUUAUUGGGUUUAAAGGGUGCGUAGGUGGUUAAUUAAGUCAGCGGUGAAAGUUUGUGGCUCAACCAUAAAAUUGCCGUUGAAACUGGUUGACUUGAGUAUAUUAGAGGUAGGCGGAAUGCGUGGUGUAGCAGUGAAAUGCAUAGAUAUCACGCAGAACUCCGAUUGUGAAGGCAGCUUACUAAACUAUAACUGACACUGAAGCACGAAAGCGUGGGGAGCAAACAGGAUUAGAUACCCCAGUAGUC
RNAcentral lists this ribosomal RNA (460 nucleotides) under uncultured bacterium. Its description in RNAcentral is "partial 16S ribosomal RNA". It matches the Rfam family "Bacterial small subunit ribosomal RNA", at positions 338 to 795 of the family's 1533-position model. The record is from RNAcentral.